RNAcentral lists this ribosomal RNA (492 nucleotides) under uncultured bacterium. RNAcentral describes it as "partial 16S ribosomal RNA". It matches the Rfam family "Bacterial small subunit ribosomal RNA", at positions 29 to 507 of the family's 1533-position model. The record is from RNAcentral.
AGUGAACGCUGGCGGUAGGCCUAACACAUGCAAGUCGAACGGCAGCACAGUAAGAGCUUGCUCUUACGGGUGGCGAGUGGCGGACGGGUGAGGAAUACAUCGGAAUCUACUUUUUCGUGGGGGAUAAUGUAGGGAAACUUACGCUAAUACCGCAUACGACCUACGGGUGAAAGCAGGGGAUCUUCGGACCUUGCGCGAUUGAAUGAGCCGAUGUCGGAUUAGCUAGUUGGCGGGGUAAAGGCCCACCAAGGCGACGAUCCGUAGCUGGUCUGAGAGGAUGAUCAGCCACACUGGAACUGAGACACGGUCCAGACUCCUACGGGAGGCGGCAGUGGGGAAUAUUGGGCAAAGGGCGCAAGCCUGAUCCAGCCAUACCGCGUGGGUGAAGAAGGCCUUCGGGUUGUAAAGCCCUUUUGUUGGGAAAGAAAAGCAGCAGGUUAAUACCCCGCUGUUCUGACGGUACCCAAAGAAUAAGCACCGGCUAACUUCGUG